This 459-nucleotide ribosomal RNA is filed under the name uncultured bacterium. Its description in RNAcentral is "partial 16S ribosomal RNA". It matches the Rfam family "Bacterial small subunit ribosomal RNA", at positions 338 to 795 of the family's 1533-position model. The record is from RNAcentral.
CCUACGGGAGGCAGCAGUGAGGAAUAUUGGUCAAUGGGCGCAGGCCUGAACCAGCCAAGUCGCGUGAGGGAAGACUGCCCUAUGGGUUGUAAACCUCUUUUAUAAGGGAAGAAUAAUGACUACGUGUAGUCAGAUGCGCGUACCUUAUGAAUAAGCAUCGGCUAACUCCGUGCCAGCAGCCGCGGUAAUACGGAGGAUGCGAGCGUUAUCCGGAUUUAUUGGGUUUAACGGGUGCGUAGGCGGUUUGUUAAGUUAGUGGUAAAACGUCGGGGCUCCACCUUGACUGGCCAUUGAAACUGGGGUACUCGAGUAUAGACGAGGUAUGCGGAAUAAGUUAAGUAGCGGUGAAAUGCUUAGAUAUCGCGUAGAACCCCGAUAGCGAAGGCAGCUUACCAGACUGUUACUGACGCUGAGGCACGAGAGCGUGGGUAGCGAACAGGAUUAGAUACCCGAGUAGUC